UGAGGAAGAUAAUGACGGUACUCAACAAGGAAGUGACGGCUAACUACGUGCCAGCAGCCGCGGUAAAACGUAGGUCACAAGCGUUGUCCGGAAUUACUGGGUGUAAAGGGAGCGCAGGCGGGAAGACAAGUUGGAAGUGAAAUCCAUGGGCUCAACCCAUGAACUGCUUUCAAAACUGUUUUUCUUGAGUAGUGCAGAGGUAGGCGGAAUUCCCGGUGUAGCGGUGGAAUGCGUAGAUAUCGGGAGGAACACCAGUGGCGAAGGCGGCCUACUGGGCACCAACUGACGCUGAGGCUCGAAAGUGUGGGUAGCAAACAGGAUUAGAUACCCUGGUAGUCCACACUGUAAACGAUGAUUACUAGGUGUUGGAGGAUUGACCCCUUCAGUGCCGCAGUUAACACAAUAAGUAAUCCACCUGGGGAGUACGACCGCAAGGUUGAAACUCAAAGGAAUUGACGGGGGCCCGCACAAGCAGUGGAGUAUGUGGUUUAAUUCGACGCAACGCGAAGAACCUUACCAAGUCUUGACAUCCCUUGACGAUGCUGGAAACAGUAUUUCUCUUCGGAGCAAGGAGACAGGUGGUGCAUGGUUGUCGUCAGCUCGUGUCGUGAGAUGUUGGGUUAAGUCCCGCAACGAGCGCAACCCUUAUGGUCAGUUACUACGCAAGAGGACUCUGGCCGGACUG
This 685-nucleotide ribosomal RNA is filed under the name Faecalibacterium prausnitzii. RNAcentral's name for it is "bacterial SSU rRNA". It matches the Rfam family "Bacterial small subunit ribosomal RNA", at positions 440 to 1151 of the family's 1533-position model. Lineage: Bacteria; Bacillati; Bacillota; Clostridia; Eubacteriales; Oscillospiraceae. The record is from RNAcentral.